RNAcentral lists this ribosomal RNA (478 nucleotides) under uncultured bacterium. RNAcentral's name for it is "partial 16S ribosomal RNA". It matches the Rfam family "Bacterial small subunit ribosomal RNA", at positions 28 to 523 of the family's 1533-position model. The record is from RNAcentral.
GACGAACGCUGGCGGCGUGCUUAACACAUGCAAGUCGAACGGUAAGGCCCUUCGGGGUACACGAGUGGCGAACGGGUGAGUAACACGUGGGUGAUCUGCCCUGCACUUCGGGAUAAGCCUGGGAAACUGGGUCUAAUACCGGAUAGGACCACUGCCUGCAUGGGUGGUGGUGGAAAGCUUUUGCGGUGUGGGAUGGGCCCGCGGCCUAUCAGCUUGUUGGUGGGGUGAUGGCCUACCAAGGCGACGACGGGUAGCCGGCCUGAGAGGGUGGCCGGCCACACUGGGACUGAGAUACGGCCCAGACUCCUACGGGAGGCAGCAGUGGGGAAUAUUGCACAAUGGGCGCAAGCCUGAUGAAGCGACGCCGCGUGAGGGAUGACGGCCUUCGGGUUGUAAACCUCUUUCAGCACCGACGAAGCGCAAGUGACGGUAGGUGCAGAAGAAGGACCGGCCAACUACGUGCCAGCAGCCGCCGUAA